RNAcentral lists this transfer RNA (67 nucleotides) under Odontomantis sp. JZ-2017. Its description in RNAcentral is "tRNA-Thr". Lineage: Eukaryota; Metazoa; Arthropoda; Insecta; Mantodea; Hymenopodidae. The record is from RNAcentral.
GUUUUAAUAGUUUAAAUAAAACAUGGGUCUGGUAAGCCAAAAAUAUUAGAAAUAACUUUUUAAAACU